Molecule: ribosomal RNA, 315 nt
Filed under: uncultured Septoglomus
Lineage: Eukaryota; Fungi; Glomeromycota; Glomeromycetes; Glomerales; Glomeraceae
Description: partial large subunit ribosomal RNA
Rfam family: Eukaryotic large subunit ribosomal RNA
Source: RNAcentral
AUAUCAAUAAGCGGAGGAAAAGAAAAUAACAAUGAUUCCCUUAGUAACGGCGAGUGAAGGGGGAAAAGCUCAAAUUUUAAAUCGGCGUAGGUUUUACCUAGUCGAGUUGUAAUUUGAAGAAGCGUUUACCGCGUCCUGGUCGACCCAAAUCCUUUGGGAUAAGGUAUCAUGGAGGGUGAGAAUCCCGUCCGGUUGACCUCAGGAUGUUUUACGUUACGCUCUCUAAGAGUCGAGUUGUUUGGGAUUGCAGCUCAAAAUGGGAGGUAAAUUUCUCCUAAGGCUAAAUACAGGCGAGAGACCGAUAGCGCACAAGUA